Molecule: unclassified non-coding RNA, 329 nt
Filed under: plant metagenome
Description: partial contains 5.8S ribosomal RNA, internal transcribed spacer 2, and large subunit ribosomal RNA
Rfam family: 5.8S ribosomal RNA (bases 1-105)
Source: RNAcentral
GAAAUGCGAUAAGUAAUGUGAAUUGCAGAAUUCCGUGAAUCAUCGAAUCUUUGAACGCACAUUGCGCCCUCUGGUAUUCCGGGGGGCAUGCCUGUCCGAGCGUCAUUGCGAACGCCUCAAGCACGGCUUGUGUGAUGGGCCCUCCCGCGUCUUGGUCGUCAAGACGGGCCCGAAAUGCAGUGGCGGCUUCGCGGUUAUCCGAUCAGCCAGAGCGUAUGGGGACUUUCUCUCUGUCACACGCCCGCGGCGCGGACCGACGCCUGUCGACCUUUAUUCAUCUUUUUCUCGGUUGACCUCGGAUCAGGUAGGGAUACCCGCUGAACUUAAGC